UUACUACUCCCUUCGUUCUAAAUUACUCGUCGUAGAAAUUAAUGUAUUUAGAACUAAAAUACAUCUAGAUACAUCCAUACCUGCGACAAGUAAUUCGGAACGAAGGGAGUACUAU
Triticum aestivum (bread wheat) is the source of this 115-nucleotide non-coding RNA. NCBI's taxonomy places the organism in Eukaryota, Viridiplantae, Streptophyta, Magnoliopsida, Poales, Poaceae. The record is from Rfam.